This 151-nucleotide ribosomal RNA is filed under the name Pectobacterium brasiliense. RNAcentral's name for it is "Pectobacterium carotovorum subsp. brasiliense partial 16S ribosomal RNA". It matches the Rfam family "Bacterial small subunit ribosomal RNA", at positions 1 to 142 of the family's 1533-position model. Lineage: Bacteria; Pseudomonadati; Pseudomonadota; Gammaproteobacteria; Enterobacterales; Pectobacteriaceae. The record is from RNAcentral.
CUUAAAUUGAAGAGUUUGAUCAUGGCUCAGAUUGAACGCUGGCGGCAGGCCUAACACAUGCAAGUCGGGCGGUAGCACGGGGGAGCUUGCUCUUUGGGUGACGAGCGGCGGACGGGUGAGUAAUGUCUGGGAAACUGCCUGAUGGAGGGGG